RNAcentral lists this long non-coding RNA (5971 nucleotides) under Gallus gallus (chicken). RNAcentral describes it as "lncRNA (ENSGALG00010014588.1)". The record is from RNAcentral. Lineage: Eukaryota; Metazoa; Chordata; Aves; Galliformes; Phasianidae.
CUUUUAUCUAUCCUUGGCUAAUCAUGCAAAAGCCAGGAAUGAAGGAAUGCUGAACUGGUAAUAUAAUUGGUUGUAUAAAUCUGAGUGGGUAGGCAGCUGGAUUUUCUUCAGUCAGUUCUUCCUAGCCACUGACUUUGAUGCUGUAAUCCUUUUGAGCCAAACAUGGACUCAGGUUCCAAACACACAUUAAUGCCAUGAUAAGAAACUUGUUGCAGAAAGGUUGUGCUACCUUGAGGUGUUACUGCUCCCUCAGCCAAACUGGCAGAACUGAUCAUGUGAAGUUUCCUUGUUGGUUUCAGCACAAAUUAAAACGUUGUCAAGCGGGCAGCACUGCUUGUGUCUGUGCUUUUAUCAUCUGGAGAGGGUCUGGGAGCUAGACUGAGGAGGCUGUCCAGUUUGUUUUGGAGGUUAUUUGUUGACUGUAACUUCAGUAGCUGAAAGCAGGUGCUGCUUGGAAGACGCCGUAGGACUUGGAAUUGUCUAUGUCUGAGGAAGGAAGCUUUUUAGAAACCAUUGGCUCUUGCUGCCUCCUUCACAUGAAUAUAAUGAUGUUGCUCCAGUGUUCCACCAUGAAAAAUAUCAAUCAAGUCUCCUAGAUGUGCUUUGUGGGAGAAAAUAUGAGCAGUAAGGUGUGUGCCACCACUGGUAGCAUACACGAUUGUGUGCCACAAUGACAGAAUCUCUUGCUAUGGAGUAGCUGAAUGAACCAUUAAUUCAACCUUCCUUCUGAAAAGAGAAAGCUUAGUAGUCUUACUGAGUAUUGUACUGAUACUUAUCUAUGUAAAAUACUUUUUUUUCCUUAACGAAUUCCCAUUAAUUGUUUAUAGCUAACUCAAAUUUAUUCAAAAAGUUUUUGUGAUACAAUUUAUAAGAAUUCUUUGGGAUCUCUGGGUGCUUCCCAACUGUUGAAUUGUUGAUGUGUUUUGUUAAACUUCUUACUCUGAUCAUCACUUCAUGUAUUAACAUAUUCAUGAUGAGUGAAUGCAAAAGGGAACACAAAGACAAGAAACACAUUCAAAUAUUAAUUUGAGUGAAUACUUUUUGAAGAUUUGAUCUGGUGCUAUUCAAAAUGCGGUGCUUCUGAAUCAGGAGCAAUAAAGUCACAAGAGAGAGUGCUGGAAGUAAUCCAUGGACAUCCUGUUCUUAUUAGAAGUGGGCUAAAGCAUUCUGACAGAUUUCAAACCUGCUGAAAUAUUCUUCUUCUUUUUUUUUUUUUACUUCUUUUACACCAGCAUUACUGGGAGCACAUCUUACUUAUCUGUUUAAGGGUGGCUAUGAAAAAGGGAGAAGACAGAGAUAUAUUUGGUGAAAAAUAGGGUGAGAAAAGAAGCAGAGAGUUGACUGUGUGAAGAAAGAAAGAGACACCCUGGGAAAGCAGCAGAGAAAAGGGAAAGAAAAGAAAUCCUAAUUUUUUAAAAUAUGACUCCUUAGAACUGAGACUGUGCCAAACCCUGGACUUGGAGGCUAUUCUGUCCUUAAUACAUUGCACAUGAUUGUCUGUAGCUAGAAAAACAUUUUUUGUGGGUUUUGAAAAAUCAAAUUACCCUUAUAUGAAAUAAAACAAACUAUGAGUUUAUAUGGCAGAGUAAAAAGAAACCAAAUUCAUUUUGCAAGCCUUUAGAGAGUUUAAAAAUCCCUUAGGCUCACAAAAACUCAAACUCCGUAGCGUUCAAAUAUUCAAAUGUUGUAGGAGGUACAAUUGACUUAAUUCCAUUUACUUUAAUUAAGUUUUCAUCAGACUCUUUCUAUUUAGUUAACUGAUUCUCCUCUCAAGGCAUGUUUAUAUUAAGGGCAAGAUCCAAAAUACCAUAUGGAUACUUCCUGUGCAAUCUAGAUAGCCAUUAAGUAAGGAGAUUGGUUAUAAAACCUGUGUAACUUUAAAAGCUACAAGACUGUAGGCAGUUUGGUAUCCCUUAGGAAUGCCUUUCUGCUCCAUAUCUGAAGCAUGGGCCUCAAGCUUAGCAUCUUGGCAGACCAGCAGGGUCUGUUCUCAGAUGCCAUGCUGCCUACCUAAGCUUAUGACACUCAAACCUGCAAUGCCAGCUUGUCUUCUACAAAAGUGAUACCUAUUGAGUGGGUGACAAAACUGGGAUGUACAUGGAGUUAGAUGCUGAAACAAGGUGUGUAAAGCCUCUGAUAGGCAAUAGAGACACCAUGCAAUUGAGUGGAGGUAAGAACGGCUGUCCAGGGUCACGACAAGAAUUCACCCAGCCCUGCUACUUGACUGGCAGGGAGGCAUGAUGGUCAUGAAGGUGAUUUCCUAGGUAGGGCCUCAUUCCUUGUACUUCUGGUGACCUGACCACUGAAAAUUCUGUGAUUUAGGGAACUACACUGUAAAAUUUGUAAUGUGAGAUACUGUAUAUGUAUGUUUUCUUAAAUUAAAACACAAUCCCACCUCCAAACUCCCAUUAAUGUUAAGUGGAUGCCUAGAGUAGAACACAGUAAACAGUGAUCUGAUUGCAGCUUAAAUCUAUACCAACUUGGAACAUCUUUGAUGUUCCUUGUAAGGAAUUGCACCCAUUUCAUGAAAACUGUAUUUUUCAGUUCUGUUUGAAUUCUCAUUUGGGGCUUCAUUUGAUAUCCCCCACUCUUGAACUGGAAGAUUCAGCAAAACGUUGGUGCCAGACUACCUUCACCAUGACACGACUUCACACACUUCCGCCACAUCCCUCCUCAGUCAUCUGUUUCCCAGACUGCAGAGUCCCGAAUUGUUUGAUAGUUUCCUUGUAUGGAAGUUGUUGCAGACCUCUGACCAUAUGUCCUUGCUCUUUCCCAGUUUUUCUGUGUUACGUGCCUUCACUAUUGCUCUAUAGAAUAAUGUGUAGUUCAUUUUUCUUAGGAUACAUUUAUAUAUACAUUUGUAUAUAUGUGAGGCUAUGCAAGUACUUGCGAUGUUUUUCACCUGCUCUUCUACCAUGGAUAUCUUCUUCCACAGAUCUGUUUAUUUAUGAUUGUACCUGGACCAGGUUUGGGAAUUUGGGUGUCACAGAGUCACAGAAUUGUAGGGUUUGGGAGGAACCUCUGGAGAUCAUGUCCUACCUUCCAGGCCAGUAUGUGACCUCUUGACCAGAGCUGCACAGUCUCUUUCUCAGACUCAUUAAAGAAUGAGAUCAGCAGUUAUGCCGUGUACAAUGCAGCUGCUCCAAGGCACCCUUACUGCAGCCUGGCUCCAGCCCUACUGCUUUAGGUCAUCUCUGAGAUGACAGAGCUUGUGGUCUGUUUGGAACUGGGUGCUGGUUGUCCUUAUCUUCUAUAAUUGCUUAGCUGUUGUAACACUUUUUCUCUUCCUCCUCUAAGUGAAAUAGCAUCUACUGUGAUACUUCCUCAUGUGCUUGCUCCUAUGGAUGUACUGUGUGUGUCCAUGUGCCAGGCAGUGUUAGUAAGCAUGCAGAGUGAGACCUUGAGCCCCCUACAGACAGGUACCAAAUUGCGUUCCAAAAACACUGCUGACAAAAAUGGAGAUGAGAGGAUAUUUCAAGAUUUGCAGUUUGUGUUUAAGUGUUUUAUGUCUGCUUACAUCCAACUUAGGUGCCCAUGAUCUCAUGAGAAGCUAUUUCUUGGCCUCCUUACACAUAAGUAUUUCUAUCUUACAGAAGUAGUUCCCCAUCUGAGGUGGGUGCAUGGACACAGGUGGACUAAAUAUGCACUGAUACUAUCUUAUUUAGGACUGAGCAAGUCCGCAGUUUAACUGAAUCUGUAGUAGAUGUCACUGAAUUGCACAGAAGGCUGCUGAUAAGCUAUUGCAUCAUCAUAGGUGCCUACCACAUACAGCAGUUUCGACUUGGAUAUGAGGUCAAUAAUGUCCUCAGUGGCUGACAUAGGAGGCAGAGGUUACAGUAAGGAUCUGUCUCUACAGUUUCACAAAGAUAGUGUUACUGUUAUCCUUGCUUAACACAUCAGCUUGGGAUACAGAGUGAUUUUGAUGUAUGUAAGCCAUGAUCGCUCAAAGUCUUUGAAAGAGCCAAGAGGUGACAUCUGUUCUCCUGCAUCCUAGUAUGGUAAUUGGCCACUGAAGCCUUUUUUGUUCAUUAUUCAGAUAUUUUGGAAAAAUUAUUAUCACUGUUCUUAUGCUUUCUACUCUUCUCCUGAGAACAAAACAAAUCCUUCCGAGGGAAAAAAAGAGUUAGGUAAUGAUGGUCUGUGGAGUUGGUGAGGAUAAUCUUUCUUUCAGUGACUUGUCUUUUCCUGUAAGCACCUCCAAAUGUUAUUGCUCUCCAUGGAGCAGGUUUAUAAAAUAAUGGGUAAGUCAUACUAAUUAUCCUGUGAGCUGUAAGGGCUGCCUGCUUUUCCUUUAGAGAAAGUAAGUCAGCUUUCACAUCUUUGCUAAAAUUCAUAGCAAGAUAGUGAAGGAGCUCAUUUCUCACUGCAGUAAAGGAAGAAGGAAAUGGCAUAGAAGUUUGUCUCUGAAUUUGCCUAUUUCAGUCUGCAAAUAAUGAUUUGUAAAUAGAAUUUUUGGGUGAUAUUUUCUCUACCAUGUGCUAACAACACGCUGCUCUGUUCAGCUGCUUGAAACAAAUAGAACUGAUGCUGAAAAGUGAAAUAAAAGCAUCACUAAAUUAGCUGCAUAACAUCCAGAUCAAUGUACCUUUCUAAGAGCAAAAUAGCGGGUACUACUCUUCUUUGGGUCAUAGCAACUGGUUGAUCAGUGUCAACAGAUAUGUUAUAGCUCCAGAAUGAGCUAUGAAAAUGCCAAGGUUAGAUUUUCUUAUUUGAUACUUCAUCACAAAAUUUCAACCGGACUGGAUUCCCCACAGGGGAUCUUAAACUAGAAAUCCAGAUAUAUCUGGGAAUAACUUUAGUGAGCAAAAAGUGAUAAUAAUAAAAAUAAUGUGUACUUCGUAUAGAGGAGUAUAAGUGUUUUUCUAAAUACCAAUCAUUUCCAGUAAUAUCCAUUUCAUCCACUUCAUUUAUUAUGGUCUGUAUGAACCUCUUUGUAUCUGUGAAUACAGAAUAAAGAAUUCUGCUCUCAAAGCCUUGAAAGCUCUAUUACUAGUGAAUUCAUGAGGAAAAUGCUGCUGACAAAAUAUAUACAUAUAUAUUUUGACCCAUUGCCUCUUUAUCCCCAUUUAAGUGACUAGUGUUAACAUCACUGUCCAAGUAUAUUCACGCACAGGAGCUUUUACUUUGCUUUCCAUCACUGAGUAGCUGUGCCUACUGAACGUAGUUGCUAUCAUGUUAAAAGCAUGUGAGAUGACCUGCCCAAGUAUUCUCUUGCUGAUUCCUCUUUUCUGGAAUGUAUUCACAUAAAUGUUCCUUCUAACUUCCUUUGUUUAGUAAUGCGUGAGUGCUUACAUCCUGGUAUUGAAAUUAUUUUUUGCUUAUAGUUGAACUGAUGUCAUGCAUCAUACACACUAAUAUAAUGUAUAUUAUAUAUAGGUACUCAUGCUUUUUUUUUAGCCACUCUUUUAUGAAUAGUGAAGAAUGAAUGAGGACAUAUCAAGUUAUGUAAUUAUUGAUGUCUGCCUUGAGCACUGUAACCUGUUAAUGUCAAAAUAGAAACCUGCAUGGUUAUUACUGCAAAAUAAGGUCACAAAUAAGGAGUAGAAAUACUCAAAAUGCAUUGGAAUAUGAGGACAAGUAUAUAAUCAAAAGUUGUUGUCAGCUAUAUUAAAGAAAAUUAUAGUUGAUUUAACUUAAUGGUAUGUUCAUAUCUGAAGUAAGAAAUGCAUUAGUUUUGAAGAAGUUUAACCAAAGCUAUUUUACAGUACAGAAAAAUUUUAAAACAUACAUUGUACAGUUCAUGGAUCAGAUUUUUGUUUGUAUUCUGUUUAGAGCUACCAUUCGAAUGAUUUGUGAAUAACAUUCUGCAGGGUAUAUUUUUUAUUCUUCUGCCUCCAAAACAAGAAUUGUUUUUAUUUAUACAAAAGAAAAGCUUAAUCAAAAUAGAAUAUAAUGUAGUUCUGAACCAGGUAAUAUUUUUUUGGAAACAAUUAUCUGUUUAUUAAACAAUAAUGAUUUUCCUGUAGUUUUG